This 229-nucleotide ribosomal RNA is filed under the name uncultured bacterium. RNAcentral describes it as "partial 16S ribosomal RNA". It matches the Rfam family "Bacterial small subunit ribosomal RNA", at positions 258 to 504 of the family's 1533-position model. The record is from RNAcentral.
UAACGGCCCACCAUGGCGACGAUCGGUAGCCGGACUGAGAGGUUGAUCGGCCACAUUGGGACUGAGACACGGCCCAGACUCCUACGGGAGGCAGCAGUGGGGGAUAUUGCACAAUGGGGGAAACCCUGAUGCAGCGACGCCGCGUGAGGGAAGAAGGUUUUCGGAUUGUAAACCUCUGUCCUCAGUGACGAUAAUGACGGUAGCUGAGGAGGAAGCCACGGCUAACUAC